GAGGAUAUAGCUCAGUGGUAGAGUGUGUGCUUAGCAUGCACAAGGUCCUGGGUUCAAUCCCCAGUACCCCCA
This 72-nucleotide transfer RNA is filed under the name Camelus bactrianus (Bactrian camel). It matches the Rfam family "tRNA". Rfam says of the family: Transfer RNA (tRNA) molecules are approximately 80 nucleotides in length. Lineage: Eukaryota; Metazoa; Chordata; Mammalia; Artiodactyla; Camelidae. RNAcentral also lists the same sequence under 3 other names. The record is from Rfam by way of RNAcentral.